This is a non-coding RNA of Podarcis lilfordi (Lilford's wall lizard), 81 nucleotides long. Lineage: Eukaryota; Metazoa; Chordata; Lepidosauria; Squamata; Lacertidae. The record is from the annotation of a GenBank genome assembly.
UGAAAGCUCAGUUGGUUCGAGUGUGGUGCUGAUGAUGCCAAGGUUGCAGGUUCGACAGAUACAUAUUCCUGCAUUGCAGAG